This 253-nucleotide ribosomal RNA is filed under the name uncultured bacterium. RNAcentral describes it as "partial 16S ribosomal RNA". It matches the Rfam family "Bacterial small subunit ribosomal RNA", at positions 524 to 776 of the family's 1533-position model. The record is from RNAcentral.
UACGGGGGGGGCAAGCGUUGUUCGGAAUUACUGGGCGUAAAGGGCUCGUAGGCGGCCAACUAAGUCAGACGUGAAAUCCCUCGGCUUAACCGGGGAACUGCGUCUGAUACUGGAUGGCUAGAGGUUGGGAGAGGGAUGCGGAAUUCCAGGUGUAGCGGUGAAAUGCGUAGAUAUCUGGAGGAACACCGGUGGCGAAGGCGGCAUCCUGGACCAAUUCUGACGCUGAGGAGCGAAGGUCAGGGGAGCAAACGGG